UGGUUUAUUCCGAUAACGAGCGAGAUUUCUUGAUUCGGUGGUUGGUGGUGCAUGGCCGUUCUUAGUUGGUGGAGUGAUUUGUCUGGUUUAUUCCGAUAACGAGCGAGACUCUAGCCUACUAAAUAGUCGGCAAAUAACUCGUGAAAUGUUUGUGCGACUUCUUAGAGGGACAAGCGGUGUUCAGCCGCAUGAAGUUGAGCAAUAACAGGUCUGUGAAGAUACAUAAAGACAACA
Molecule: non-coding RNA, 234 nt
Filed under: Dracunculus medinensis (Guinea worm)
Lineage: Eukaryota; Metazoa; Nematoda; Chromadorea; Rhabditida; Dracunculidae
Description: Microsporidia small subunit ribosomal RNA
Rfam family: Eukaryotic small subunit ribosomal RNA
Source: Rfam by way of RNAcentral